Molecule: non-coding RNA, 129 nt
Organism: Zonotrichia albicollis (white-throated sparrow)
Lineage: Eukaryota; Metazoa; Chordata; Aves; Passeriformes; Passerellidae
Source: RefSeq, a predicted model, not a curated record
CAAGCGUUUCAAAACUCUUAAAUUCUUUUUAAGUUCAAUUUACCAGCUCUUAGAUCAUGGAAUCUUCACCCACGUGUUCCCCGUGGCCCCUCCCCAGUGUUAAGAAGUUAAAAGGAUCUCGGGCCAUAA